GGUCAAGCAAUAAGGGCACAGGGCGGAUGCCUUGGCACUAAGAGCCGAUGAAAGACGUGAUAAGCUGCGAUAAGCUUCGGGGAGGAGCAAAUAUCCCGUGAUCCGGAGAUGUCUGAAUGGGGAAACCCACAUGAGCAAACCUCAUGUAUCCUACAGCCAAUACAUAACUGUAGGAAGGGAACCCGGGGAACUGAAACAGCUAAGUAC
Molecule: ribosomal RNA, 207 nt
Filed under: Agathobacter rectalis
Lineage: Bacteria; Bacillati; Bacillota; Clostridia; Lachnospirales; Lachnospiraceae
Description: partial 23S ribosomal RNA
Rfam family: Bacterial large subunit ribosomal RNA
Source: RNAcentral